UAAAUAACUUCCAGCCUAGGAUUCUUCUUUUGCCUCACUCCUUUGGAUUAGAAUUACAGGUGUCUGCUCUUUCCCCAAUCUGUGGCAUGCUGGGGGGCAAAACAGCACCUCGUGCUGCCAGAGAAGCAGCCAGCCUAGUGCUGAGCUUCGUCCUCAGCUCCUACACAAGGUCUUCAAAGGCCACCGCAGAACAGAACAGAGGGCAGCAGAGACGGGCCUGGAAGAGAGCCCUGAAAGAAAGUCCCCACCAGAGGGGGCUUUUGCCUAUGUGUGUGCCUGUGCUCUUCCUGGAUGCCUGGUAUCUGAGGAGUCUAGAAGAGUGCAUCAGUUUCCCUGGAACUGAAGCUACAGACGGUUGUGAACCUCCAUGUGAGUGCUGAGAAUCUAAUCCUGAUCCUGUAGAG
Molecule: long non-coding RNA, 404 nt
Filed under: Cricetulus griseus (Chinese hamster)
Lineage: Eukaryota; Metazoa; Chordata; Mammalia; Rodentia; Cricetidae
Description: lncRNA (ENSCGRG00015034787.1)
Source: RNAcentral